Long non-coding RNA from Schistocerca cancellata (South American locust), 476 nucleotides. RefSeq lists it as uncharacterized. NCBI's taxonomy places the organism in Eukaryota, Metazoa, Arthropoda, Insecta, Orthoptera, Acrididae. The record is from RefSeq and is a predicted model, not a curated record. The transcript is spliced from 3 exons.
GUGGUUCCUGCUCGUCCAGCCGGUUCGACCCAUGCGCCUCUAGCCCCUGCGUGGGCGGCUCGACUUGUGAGUCGCUGCCUCGGGGUGGCUUCUUCUGCAACUGCAGCCGCGGGGCCGCCUGCGACACGGAGGGCAGCGCGUUCGUGGCAGCGCUCGACGGCAGUUCUUCGCUGGAGCUGGCGUGGCCCGAGGGCGCUGGAGCGGCGCUGUCCCUCGAGUUAUGGUUCCUCGCAGAGCAGCCGGACGGCGUGCUUCUGUCUGCUGGAGGGGGAGGACGAGGUGGAGGCGGAGACUUCCUGUGGUUGGCGCUCGUCGGCGGCCGCCUUCAGCUGCGCUUCAACCUGGGCAGCGGCGCCGCCACCGUCACGUCCCCGCAGAGGGCAGAGCUCGGCCGCUGGCAGCGCGCUCUGGUGAGUCGCGCAGGGCGCAGGGCGUGGCUGCGGCUGGGCGAGGAGGAAGGGCUGCUGGCCGCGGGG